This 71-nucleotide transfer RNA is filed under the name Mus musculus (house mouse). It matches the Rfam family "tRNA". Rfam says of the family: Transfer RNA (tRNA) molecules are approximately 80 nucleotides in length. Their secondary structure includes four short double-helical elements and three loops (D, anti-codon, and T loops). Further hydrogen bonds mediate the characteristic L-shaped molecular structure. tRNAs have two regions of fundamental functional importance: the anti-codon, which is responsible for specific mRNA codon recognition, and the 3' end, to which the tRNAs corresponding amino acid is attached (by aminoacyl-tRNA synthetases). tRNAs cope with the degeneracy of the genetic code in two manners: having more than one tRNA (with a specific anti-codon) for a particular amino acid; and 'wobble' base-pairing, i.e. permitting non-standard base-pairing at the 3rd anti-codon position. Lineage: Eukaryota; Metazoa; Chordata; Mammalia; Rodentia; Muridae. The record is from Rfam by way of RNAcentral.
UGGGGUUUAGCUCAAUGACAGAGUGCUUGCCUAGCAUGCAAGAGACCCGAGUUCAAUUUCCAGUACCACAA